GACGAACGCUGGCGGCGUGCUUAACACAUGCAAGUCGAGCGAUGAAGCUCCUUCGGGAGUGGAUUAGCGGCGGACGGGUGAGUAACACGUGGGUAACCUGCCUCAUAGAGGGGAAUAGCCUUUCGAAAGGAAGAUUAAUACCGCAUAAGAUUGUAGUUUCGCAUGAAACAGCAAUUAAAGGAGUAAUCCGCUAUGAGAUGGACCCGCGUAGCAUUAGCUAGGUGGUGAGGUAACGGCUCACCAAGGCGACGAUGCGUAGCCGACCUGAGAGGGUGAUCGGCCACAUUGGGACUGAGACACGGCCCAGACUCCUACGGGAGGCAGCAGUGGGGAAUAUUGCACAAUGGGGGAAACCCUGAUGCAGCAACGCCGCGUGAGUGAUGACGGUCUUCGGAUUGUAAACUCUGUCUUCAGGGACGAUAAUGACGGUACCUGAGGAGGAAGCCACGGCUAACUACGUGCCAGCCGCCGCAGUAA
Molecule: ribosomal RNA, 477 nt
Filed under: uncultured bacterium
Lineage: Bacteria
Description: partial 16S ribosomal RNA
Rfam family: Bacterial small subunit ribosomal RNA
Source: RNAcentral